This is a non-coding RNA of Paramuricea clavata, 348 nucleotides long. The record is from the annotation of a GenBank genome assembly. Lineage: Eukaryota; Metazoa; Cnidaria; Anthozoa; Malacalcyonacea; Plexauridae.
CGGCUGGGUAUCGUCCGUAUCGAAACCAUGACCUUCAAGUUACUAGAUGUUCUACCAACUGAGCUACAUGGUCAGGAUGGAUCGAAGACUGGAAAUUAUGAACUACAUACUGAAUGUCAUAAACAUACUUGUUUAUAUUAAUCAGAGUUUUCAAUUUUGUGUGAGGCUCUGGCUAAUGGUGAUGAAGCUACGGCGAUAGAUAUUAUUUCUACCGAUAGAAUUUACAAAUUUGGGCGAGUACACAUAAUAGAGACGUGACUAAACGUAAAAGCUCUGGCGAAUUUGGGUGGGGUUGAAUGAAAAAGUCUGGCGAAAUUCGCCGUUCGCCGGCCUAAACUGAAAACCCUG